This is a long non-coding RNA of Bos grunniens (domestic yak), 1111 nucleotides long. Lineage: Eukaryota; Metazoa; Chordata; Mammalia; Artiodactyla; Bovidae. The record is from Ensembl.
AACUCAUUUGUGCAACUUUCAUGCAUUGUUUUUUCUAAUACGUUAUCUUAUUUUUUUUUGUUGUUACUUUUUUAAAAUUGAGCUAUAGCUGUAGAGUAUGAGUAAGUUAUAGGUAUACAAUAUAGUGGUUUACAAUUGUAAAGGUUAUAUUUCAUUUAUAGCUAUUAUUGUCUAUAUGUUGCUAAUAGUUCCUUAGUUGUACAAUAUAUCCUUGUAGUUUAUUUUUAUGCACAGUUGUCUGUACCUCUUAAUCGCGUACUCCUGUAUCGCCUCUCCUGCCUUCCCUCUCCCCACUGGUAACCACUAGUUUGUUCCCUACAUCCGUGAGUCUGCUUCUUUUUUGUUAUAUUCACUAGUUCGUUAUGUUUUUUUAGAUUCCACAGGUAAGUGAUAUCAUACAGUACUGGUCUUUCUCUGUCUCGUGUACUGUUUUUUCAGAAGCUUCUUUACUAAACAACUGUGUGAAGUGUUGGAAAUUUUCAAAUUUUCCACCUAAUUUCCACUAGUAUUCACAUAAUUCCAUUUCACUCAUCAAUCUACAUUUUUUCCAACAUGCUUAGGAUUCUAUCAGUGUCUGCUUUUGAGACAUGACUUGAUGCAGUGUUGAAACAUUUUCAGUAAUUGCCAACUCAAAAAUGACAAAUACUGCAUGAAUAAUAGAGUAAAUGAGCUAUUCUUGCCAUCAUGGGCCUACAAUAGAGGGAAUUGCUUAGUCCACAUACCAAUUAUGUUUCUACGUUCAUAAGAUAUUUUUGUAAUCAAAAAAUUAAACUAUGAAAAAUAUACACCUAUUUCUUUUCCAGCCCUUCCUGAAUGAGAAUGCAUUUGGGCUCUCUGCCCAGUUCUGAUCUGUAAGCUGCCUCCUCAGUUCCUCAACUCCAUGUAGCCCGGAUCCUACCCCAGCUUCCAGGCCUUCUACUCACCCCUGGGGGAAAAUGAGAGGAAACAGGAGAGAGAGUGCCGGUCUGCCUCACCUGAGAACAUUGGGAAUAAAAGAUACACAGUGUGUGGCCUGACUGCUGGUAGAAGUGGGACAGUUUCCGCAACAGACACUGGCAAUGCUACGUCUCAGGCCAAGGGAAGGUCCUGCCAAGGUGAGAAAAUAUAUAGC